Molecule: long non-coding RNA, 371 nt
Filed under: Coturnix japonica (Japanese quail)
Lineage: Eukaryota; Metazoa; Chordata; Aves; Galliformes; Phasianidae
Description: lncRNA (ENSCJPG00005012458.1)
Source: RNAcentral
CUAAUACCCAAGCAUCCACUAUUGGGCACUGUAAGUGGCAAACUGGACAUCUUUCAUGAACUGAACUGUCUUCUUGGGCUUCACUGACUGCAAAAAUAGAAGAUAUUCUCCUGAGUGAUGACUGGUUUUCAUCCCAUCAUGUCCUGAGCUUCCACAUCCCUCUGCUCAAAGAAAUGCCAGUUCCUCCAACCACUUGUGUUUUGCUGGAUACCUGUCAACUCUUCACAUUCAGAGACCUUGGAAAAGUAACCAACUUUGAAGAUUUUGUAGCCGGCUUUUUGUCUGAAUGGGAAACUGCUGAGUUUCAUCUCAUCCCUGUUGUGACUAAUUCCAGACAGUCACACUCAGGAAACUGGGAAAAAGAGUCCUGA